This is a long non-coding RNA of Xiphophorus hellerii (green swordtail), 445 nucleotides long. RefSeq lists it as uncharacterized. The transcript is spliced from 4 exons. The record is from RefSeq and is a predicted model, not a curated record. NCBI's taxonomy places the organism in Eukaryota, Metazoa, Chordata, Actinopteri, Cyprinodontiformes, Poeciliidae.
AUGGACGACUGAGACUGGUUCCAGCUGUGAGGAACUGCAGAAAGGCUCGACUUGGUGGCUGUUGGCUCCGAAAGGAUGAAUGUGAAAUUUUGGCCUCGGCUCUGAAGUCCAACCCAGAUCUGACUGAACUGGAAAUAAGUUGGAUCAACAUAGAUGGAGGUGGAGACUCUGAUCUGAAGCCUCUGGUUGAGAUCCUGGAGAGUUCAGUCAGUAAAGUGAAGAUUCUGAGAUUGUGGGGCUGCAGUUUGUCAGAGACCAGCUGGACUUCUCUGUUCUCAGCUCUGAAGUCCAAACCGACCCAUCUGACAAAACUGGACCUGAGCAGAACCAACCUGAAAGAUUCUGGAGUGAAGGAGCUCUGUGGUUUUCUACAGACUGAAGGCUGCAGACUGGAGACAUUGAAAUUGUUUGACUGCAGUUUGUCAAAGAUCAGCUGUGAUUAUUU